UACGUAGGGUGCAAGCGUUUGUCCGGAAUUACUGGGCGUAAAGAGUUCGUAGGCGGUUUGUCGCGUCGUUUGUGAAAACCAGCAGCUCAACUGCUGGCUUGCAGGCGAUACGGGCAGACUUGAGUACUGCAGGGGAGACUGGAAUUCCUGGUGUAGCGGUGAAAUGCGCAGAUAUCAGGAGGAACACCGGUGGCGAAGGCGGGUCUCUGGGCAGUAACUGACGCUGAGGAACGAAAGCGUGGGUAGCGAACAGG
RNAcentral lists this ribosomal RNA (254 nucleotides) under uncultured bacterium. RNAcentral describes it as "partial 16S ribosomal RNA". It matches the Rfam family "Bacterial small subunit ribosomal RNA", at positions 524 to 776 of the family's 1533-position model. The record is from RNAcentral.